ACUUCUUUCUAAUUUCCCCAGAUAAACAACUGCAUUUUAUUCAAUAUUUUGUACAAUAUGCGAUGAAUUUUACAUCCUAAAAAUGCUCGUGGUGAGACCAUGCUGCAUGUAAAUGGAAAAUUACAAGUUUCAGCUUUUGAUACAAGAUUGCCAUGUUUGCUUUUGAUACAAGAUUGACAUGUUUUGGUGUCUACCUUAAGUACAGUGAAAACUAGCAUGGAGCGAUAAUUAUGAUUUCACUAACAUCAACAGGGAAGCAUAUUGCCCAAAAAUGGGAUAUUUACUACUGCAACCAAUUCUAUACCGAAAACACUGCCACAGAGGCAGCUAUAUGGUUAUAUAUAACAGUAGCCUUCCCUGUCAACCUUGGACAUGAUCAUGCAAAUGAAUAAUUACAAAUUUAACAUUUUAAUAUAAAGAGCACCAUGUUUUCCCGUCUACC
RNAcentral lists this long non-coding RNA (442 nucleotides) under Trifolium pratense (red clover). Its description in RNAcentral is "long non-coding RNA (TPRA_LNC000006)". Lineage: Eukaryota; Viridiplantae; Streptophyta; Magnoliopsida; Fabales; Fabaceae. The record is from RNAcentral.